This is a long non-coding RNA of Scophthalmus maximus (turbot), 835 nucleotides long. RefSeq lists it as uncharacterized. The record is from RefSeq and is a predicted model, not a curated record. The transcript is spliced from 4 exons. Lineage: Eukaryota; Metazoa; Chordata; Actinopteri; Pleuronectiformes; Scophthalmidae.
UCUGUAUCUCUAUCAUAUUAAAAAAAAAGUCCAAGGAUGGCUGGCCGAGUCUGACUUUUCAACCAAUCAGAGCCGCUACGUUCUGCUGUAUCUGCCUGUGACAUGAUAUGCUGUGUAGCCUGCUAACAAAACACUGCUCCUGAAGCUCCCGAAACGGCUCGUCAGAAGUCUUGCGAUACUUCGUGGCUGACGUGCUUCUCCGGCCAGGUGUCCAUCCUGCCAGGAUGCUGAGGAGGAGCAGCCUGCGUCUGGAAGAUUUGGAUCAAAAGGCAAAAGGACUCUCGGUGUUAUUCAACACUUCUAAAACAUUUCUGAGCUCAGGGUCAGAGGUCAGGGUCAGCUACAGAGCAGCCUCCCCCGGAGGUGGAAGCUAAUACAUCCAUGUGGGGAAGAGACUCAUUGUCCUGCAUAGGCAUGGUACAGCUGAAUGGCUGUUGGCCAACAGAAGGCCUCUCCCGCUCGAACGGCCAUCUCUCUGUCACAACCGCCUCCUGCCAUAUACCAUGCAGCGACUGAGCCCAGCAGUUAUGGCACACAUGUUUGCUAAGAUCGGAUCAGCUGCUGCCUGACUGACCACCCUUCACUCCCCUCGGGGCGUUUUGAAUGGAAGAGUUCCGCGGUACACCCACGCAGAGGCAAAGAGGUGAGGCCCGAGGAAGGUUGUCGACCUCCAUCUAUCAGAGACCAACACCUUGGCACAUCCCAACUUGUAGGCAGGCCCCAAGCAUCCUUUCCUGUCAUUUUUUUUUAGAGCAACCUGUUUUCCCGUGGAGCUGAAUAAAAAAAAAUUGAAUUACUUCAAGUUCUGCUGUGAAGCAUUAAACCGGCACUGACU